This 7746-nucleotide long non-coding RNA is filed under the name Triticum aestivum (bread wheat). RNAcentral describes it as "long non-coding RNA (TAES_LNC003336)". Lineage: Eukaryota; Viridiplantae; Streptophyta; Magnoliopsida; Poales; Poaceae. The record is from RNAcentral.
UGCUGUUUUGAUGUUGCUGCAUGUGCCGUUGCUGCCUAGUGUUUGCUGAUGCUUGUGGCGCCGGUGCCUCUUGUGCCCGAGCGUAUGUGCACAGCCGGUUGUGCUUCUGGCCGGUGUAUUUGGCUAGAGUUUGAUUAGUCUAGAAAUAGAUUAGGUUAGUUUAUUUGUUUAAUUAGUCAAAUGUGUAGAUGACAAGUGGGCCACCCCUGUUGAUUAUCUUUUAUUUAUUGGGUUAACAAAAAUAGUGUAUAUGACAAGUGGCCCCAUCACUUAAACAGUCUAUUAAAACUUCUCUAUCUGAACAUGGGCCUAUGACAUGCGGGCCCCUUGUUAAUUUGACUCAGUCAACAGUCAAACUAGUUGACUGCUGACUGGACAUUGACUUGGUCAACUGAACUCCUUGCCCCGCUGUCAUAAACAUGGCUAGCCCCCUAGUUGGUGUGAAAAGUAUUCUGUUAUCUAGUAUUAUUAGAGUAAAUAGAUAAUAGGAAUUUUAGAAAAUGUUUAAAUCUUUAAAAAUUCAUCGUAAUUAAACCGUAACUCGGAUGAAAAUGUUUUCUAUUUGAAAGUUGUUCAAAAAAAUCCAACGAAUUCGAUUACGCGGUCCGUUCAUCUGUCACAUGCCCCUAGCAUGCUGAACAUGGAACUUUCCCCCUCCGGUCAUCUGUUUGACACAGGUCCGGAACCGGGAAAACAUUCCCGGUUGACUCCCCCCCCCUCGCCGGUAUCGUGUAGCACCACGUUAGAACACGUCUAGCUCUGCUUGUUGUCCUGUUAUGCUAUGUUUGCUUUAUAUUUAUUGUGUUCCCCCUCCAUUACUUCUUUCCGCUAGACAUCGAGACCGACGCCGCUGCAACCCAGNNNNNNNNNNNNNNNNNNNNNNNNNNNNNNNNNNNNNNNNNNNNNNNNNNNNNNNNNNNNNNNNNNNNNNNNNNNNNNNNNNNNNNNNNNNNNNNNNNNNNNNNNNNNNNNNNNNNNNNNNNNNNNNNNNNNNNNNNNNNNNCCAGAUAUCGCCUAUUCUCCUCUAUACUGCUUGCAUUAGAGUAGUGUAGCAUGUUACUGCUUUUCGUUAAUCCUAUUCUGAUGCAUAGCAUGACAUUGUUGCUACAUCUGUUGAUACCUUACCUGCAAUUCUAAAUACUUAGUAUAGGAUGCUAGUUUAUCAUCAUUGGCCCUACAUUCUUGUCAGUCUGUCUUGCUAUACUAUUGGGCCGUGAUCACUCGGGAGGUGAUUAUGGGUAUAUACUAUACAUACUUACAUACUAUACAGAUGGUGACUAAAGUCGGGUCAGCUCGUUGAGUACCCGCAAGUGAUUCUGAUGAGGGGGCUGAAAGGACAGGUGGCUCCAUCCCGGUAGAGGUGGGCCUGGGUUCCCGACGGCCCCCGACUGUUACUUUGUGGCGGAGCGACAGGGCAGGUUGAGACUACCUAGGAGACAGGUGGGCCUGGCCCUGGUCGGCGUUCGUGGAUACUUAACACGCUUAACGAGAUCUUGAUAUUUGAUUUGAGUCUGGCUACUGGCCUAUACGCACUAACCAACUACGCGGGAACAGUUAUGGGCACUCGACGUCGUGGUAUGAGCCGAAGCCUUCUAGACGUCAGCGACUGAGCGGCGCGUGCCUGAUUGGACCGCGUAACGUGACUUCCUUUGUAAUGGAGGUUGCUAGGUCUGCUUCCGGCCGCCCUCGCAACGGGCAUGUGUGCAAUGGGCGAUGGGCCCAGACCCCUGCGCCAUAGGAGUUAGACCGGCGUGCUGACCUCUCUGUUAGGCCUAGGUGGGGCUGCGACGUGUUGAUCUUCCGAGGCCGGGCAUGACCCAGGAAAGUGUGUCCGGCCAAAUGGGAUCGAGCGUGUUGGGUUAUGUGGUGCACCCCUGCAGGGAAGUUAAUCUAUUCGAAUAGCCGUGAUCUUCGGUAACAGGACGACUUGGAGUUGUACCUUGACCUUAUGACAACUAGAACCGGAUACUUAAUAAAACACACCCUUCCAAGUGCCAGAUACAACCCGGUGAUCGCUCUCUAACAGGGCGACGAGGAGAGGAUCGCCGGGUAGGAUUAUGCUAUGCGAUGAUACUUGGAGGACUUCAGUCUACUCUCUUCUACAUGCUGCAAGACGGAGGCUGCCAGAAGCGUAGUCUUCGACAGGAUUAGUUAUCCCACACAUAUUCUGGCAUUCUGCAGUUCAGUCCACUGAUAUGGCCCUUUACACAUAUACCCAUGCAUAUGUAGUGUAGCUCCUUGCUUGCAGUACUUUGGAUGAGUACUCACGGUUGCUUUCUUCCCUUUUUUCCCCUUUCCUUUCUACCUGGUUGUCGCAACCAGAUGUCAGAGCCCAGGAGCCAGACGCCACCGUCGACGAUGACUCCUACUACGCUGGAGGUGCCUACUACUACGUGCAGCCCGCUGACGACGACCAGGAGUAGUUUAGGAGGAUCCCAGGCAGGAGGCCUGCGCCUCUUUCGAUCUGUAUCCCAGUUUGUGCUAGCCUUCUUAAGGCAAACUUGUUUAACUUAUGUCUGUACUCAGAUAUUGUUGCUUCCGCUGACUCGUCUAUGAUCGAGCACUUGUAUUCGAGCCCUCGAGGCCCCUGGCUUGUAUUAUGAUGCUUGUAUGACUUAUUUUUGCAUUAGAGUUGUGUUGUGAUAUCUUCCCGUGAGUUCCUGAUCUUGAUCAUACACGUUUGCGUGUAUGAUUAGUGUACGAUUGAAUCGGCGACGUCACAAGUUGGUAUCAGAGCCGACUGCCUGUAGGAAUCCCCCUUUCCAACUUCUUGGCCGAAGUCGAGUCUAGUUAUUGAAAAACUUUUACUAACAUGGCUGUGUGCCUUAUGGGCCCACGUCGCCAUUGGGUGGAAUUAUGAUCUUUUAUUCCUCGACCUAUACUCUGGGACUCUGACAUCUCUUCUAUUUGGGUUAAACGAUUUUACAAACUCUGACUCUAGGUUCUUGAUAAUACUUUCUCCCGGUGAGCCCCUUUAGUCCAGAUGAUCGCCUGCUGCACCAGAAAAUUUUGAAGAUACUCUCCGAUGUUUCCUUGAGACCCUUGUGCCCUUCGUCGUUGCAAUUUCAUACCACCGAUAAAUCCCUAUGGAAAGCUACAUACACUUGUCGUCCAUAACUUCAUUUCCAAUUUUAUCUUGAUAUUACAAGAUACCCUGAAAUACCUCGGAUAUUCCGAGAAUCCUUUGUGUCUGCUGCCUUGCAGCUCCUUUUCCUCAUAAAUACCCCUACGGAUAAUUCCUCGCACUUAUCGAUUAUCCGCUCAUCCCCAGUUGUUUAGGUGUUUCGCAAAAUGCUUCUAAAUGCCAUUGGCUCUUCCAAAAUCCUUAGUAGCCUAUUGCUCUUGAUCUUCUUUACCUGCUUGCAUAAUGGUUACUUCCAUAUGUCUAGCAAUAUUCAUUAAAAUACUUUGUGAUCGACAUUCUGAUCUUGUUAAUUCAACAUGUGUGUGAAUGCACACAAUCAUCAUUUAUUCCCUGAAAAUUAUCCUUUCGGCUUAGACGUCAUUUUGAACAUGAGCUGGUUCUCAGCCAAUUAAAUUGCCGUCGAUUGUACCCCUAAGUGUAUUCAAAUUAUCCAUCCUUUAUCAGAGUGUUUGCUUCUGAUCCCUUCGUUUGGAAAUCUUAAUUCCUUUUGCAUUUGAGCUUGACUUAGUCGGUUGUUUCUAUAAUCAGAUCUCCUUGCAUUCUUUCUUCUUCCGGUUGAGUACCGAUGCUCACAUCAAAUCCCUUAGGGACCGCCAGGUCCUUUGUUGGAUUUUGUCCGACACCGUCCUUCGUAUUCAUUAACCUUGUGAGCUUUUCCUCAGAUACAUAAGGCCUUUGAUAAAUUGUAUCCCCUGCUUUUGUCAACCAUGCUCAGCUCCCGAGCUUGAGUUCUUUACUCUGAAGUUUGUGGUAUAUAUUCCUAGAUGCCCCGAUGGGUUGAACCAUUACCUUCCCUAAUCGGUGCGAACCCGAAAGAUUUCACGGGUCAUACUUAUCUGGUAUUGUACCAGGUAAAAUGUUCAACAACUAAUGUCAUUUUUGAAAUACGAGAGGUGAAUGGAAGGUUAUGCAUUGAGGAAGUGGGGGUCGACCUUGAACCUUUGUGUUCAUGCCCAUGGACACGAUGUAGAUCCUACCAUGGAAGCUUCUUGCGAUAAUAGUUGUUUCCUUGACAUAAUAUCCUUUGGUAUCGGAGAAUUGAUCUUUUGCAAUUGUGGUUCCGACCAUAUGUUCUUCUUUGAUCCCAUUUCUCGGGCAAGUUUAAGCACUUGUCUUCUGUGGAUCAAUACACCAGUCUAACCUUUACUUUGAUCUUUCGUCGAGUAUUACACCCCGGUAUCUCGAGAUUAUCACAGAACUGCAUAACUUCUUAUGAGUUCUCCAUCAAGUACUACAUUCUCAUUGAUUCCAAUAUUUUUCACGGGCUCUGAGUCAUUAAACACUCAAGGACACCGAUAACUGAGUCGAGUCCACAUCGCGAUUAAACAACUAUUAGUAAUCUUCUUUACUUACGAGUUUGUACUCGAUCACGUCAUUUUGUAUCUGUAUCGUGCCGAUUUUGACUGUACUACCUGGUCCUUAUUUCCGGAGCACCACUUUCGCGAUGAGCUAAGCUUACAUCGAUCUUCCUUGUCUUAUCAUUUUUCGCCUUGAACAGAAAGCUUGAUUUUGAGUUUGUAUUGUACCCAGGGUUCCAAUAACCUUUCGUUUCAUCAUUCCUUUGACUUGAUGUCAUCGCCGAUCAAUUACAUCUUCAUGAAAUCUCUCGACAAAUGUGUCGUGAUCAUCACCAACAUUCUGCGCUGUUCCAGGAUAUCAGUCGAAUUCAUGAUGAGAAAUACCAUCCUUGCCCCCUCGAUGAAUUGUUUCUGAGCCCGCCGGCCACAAAAUCAUCUUUUUCUUGCUGAAAUUGUAUGACUUAUUUUAUAAGUUGUUCCGAUGGAUCCUUUGUGUAUCCGAAGUCUGGCCUUUCCCUGAUGACCAUGUCAACACUAUUCCGAAGCAUGUGUGUGGUACUCCGAUCAUCAACAAGAACAUUGGGAGCGCAAUGCUAACUGUUCUUGAUCAAUAUCCAAACACCGUUGUAUGGGUAAACCUCAUAAAUUCCUUGCCCCUUUGUCUAAAGGUUUAAUACCUGGAGCCCUAUCAUGCACUGCCUUUCCUUGGGAAAGUUAUACUCUAAUACUUGGGUAUAAACACAUUUCCUUUCCAUUGGUCUGAUUAUCAUAAUAAUCACAUUUUCCUUUCCAUUGUUUCGUUUCACCUUUCUUGUAAUCUAACUUGUCUGAGCAAAGAUAAAUCCCUGCUUAAGUAAGCACCUCGGUGUACAAUUCUGUCAGUAAGACCCUGUUACUAUUGUUGAUGACAUUUCGGUAACCACCGAUGGACAAGAACUUUGCCUAUUGGUCUGCCUCAUCUUACGAGCAGAAAAAUGGUUAUCUUUGUCCCACGCCCUUGGUACCAAACUUUGUUGCCAACAUAACUGACAGGCUAUCCGCUAACCUGCCUCGCUAUCAUAACCAUUCAAGAUGUUAGCGCCUUCCUGCUUUUAACCCACAUGGUGGGCCCAUAACCCAUAGUUCCACAAGAUCGAAACCCGACUCUCCUGUACACCCUUGUUUUUAAGGUUAUUUCUCACGCUUGGCUUCAUAUGAAAAUCCUGAGCCGCCUUCCGAGAGGCGAUCUAUCCUGCUAUCACACGCAAUACUUAUUACCAUUGCUCUGAACCUCUUUCACCCCUUGUUUCAGGCAACAAGCGGUUGUCUACCAGGUUGAAACUCCUUAUUGCACCUCACCUUACUCUCGAUGACUUUUUUGAAUUUCAACUCGUAAGGUGACUUUGUUCAUAGUCCCCGCGUACCUAUCUUGUUUUGAGCUUCGUCCUUCCCGAGUCUUUUCCCUUACUCCACCUCUUAAAUCUCGGGACGAGAUUUCUUGUAGUGGAGGAGAUUUGUAACACCCCGGUAGUUGAACUACAGUAACCUCACACUAAUGAUGCCAUGUCAUCAAGUUUGACUAAGCCACAUUGCCACUUGAGAAAAAUCAAAUCCAAAUUCCUUUUGAAAUACAAGUCAAAUUCUUAUUUCUUUAUUCUGUCAAAUAAAAAUGUUUGAUGGGUUGCAAGUAUUCGUGAAUUAAUUGUCAUGAAGAAAUCAACUCAAAUUGGAUUUUUAUUUUUCCCAUGGAAAUAUUUUGGUGGACCAACAACGUUUAAUUUGGUCGUUCAAAUUCCAACAUAUAUUCCUACCUUUUCCAAACCACAAGAAACUUUGUGUGUGGCCCUAUGCUAACGUACUGUAUUAUGUGCCAAGUUUUGUUUAUAACAAAAAUUGUUUGCUCACUCAAAUAAAUAUCAAGUUGUAGCUAAAAAUAGAAAACAACGGUGUAAGUAUGAAACAGUAAAGAUAAUAGGAAAGUAAAAGGCCCCUACUAUGGACUGGGCCGUAAGACCACAGUGCAAGGCCCAACCCAGUACCCCUCAUCCUUUUCCUCUGUACACUAGGGGAUGGCGUGGCGGGCAUCCACCCCGCCAUGGCCGCCGAUGCCGCCGCUAUCGUUCAUCCCGCGGUCGAGGGGAUGGAUAAGAGCAUCCCCAGAGCCCCCUCGACCAAACCCUAGGUCACCCAUUCCCCUCCCUCGCUUGCCCCCUUCGUUUUCUUCUUGCCCGAGGCGCUCAUGGCCGCGCCGCCGUCGUACGCGCAGCCACCGCACGCCCCUCGCCGCCUCUCCAUGUCCAGAAGCUCUGCGGGGGUCGACUUCAUCGGCUACAACUCCGAAUCGGAGCUGGGAGGCCGCCACCCCGUCGUCGACUGCAUCUUCUUCCCCAACUACGACCGCCACUGAACUCCGUCGAUUUGCACUGCUCCGCCCCGUCCAAGGCCUCCCAGACCACACCUCCGAGUUCGCGGUGAGCUCAUCCCUCGAAUCCUCCUUUUUCCCCUUCGAUUUGAACAACGUAGGGCGCCGUCACCGUCGUGUCCGAACUCGCGCGUACGCGUACAUGCGUGCAGUUGCUGCUCUGCUUCGUUGCGCUGUUGCUGUUGCCAUCUGAUGCUGCUCUACUACUGUUGCUUGCCGUCACUGGCCACCGCCGCUGCUGCCUCACCCCGCCCCCGCCUCAGGCCCGCGCGCCCCCACUCGCUGCUCCCUUCUGCUGUUGCCGCGGUUGCCGUCGUCGCGCGCCGUGUUGGCCCCCCUGCUCGCCGUCCGUGCCCGCGCCGCCCGCUCGCCGGUCAUCGCCCGCCCUGGCCGGAGCCGUCCCCAUCCGCGUGCGCCCUGCUGCGCUUGACGCUGUCCCGCGACCGUGGCCGGAGCUCCAUGUACGCGCAGAAACUGCUGCUGAUGCGUUACUGCGGCGCUGCUCCUACUGCCGCUCGUGGCUGCCCCGGGAGCCGCCUUCGCCAGCCGCGUGUUGCUCCGUCGACAGCCCCGCUGCUGCACUCAGCCGCUGCCUUCGGCUGCUGCUGCCGCUGCUCGUUGUUCCCUGCGACCGCCACUGCUGUUUUGAUGUUGCUGCAUGUGCCGUUGCUGCCUAGUGUUUGCUGAUGCUUGUGGCGCCGGUGCCUCUUGUGCCCGAGCGUAUGUGCACAGCCGGUUGUGCUUCUGGCCGGUGUAUUUGGCUAGAGUUUGAUUAGUCUAGAAAUAGAUUAGGUUAGUUUAUUUGUUUAAUUAGUCAAAUGUGUAGAUGACAAGUGGGCCACCCCUGUUGAUUAUCUUUUAUUUAUUGGGUUAACAAAAAUAGUGUAUAUGACAAGUGGCCC